Long non-coding RNA from Dromaius novaehollandiae (emu), 3585 nucleotides. RefSeq lists it as uncharacterized. The transcript has 3 exons. Lineage: Eukaryota; Metazoa; Chordata; Aves; Casuariiformes; Dromaiidae. The record is from RefSeq and is a predicted model, not a curated record.
UAUAAGGCUUUCUUCUCUCGUGUCGGAGACCUCCAGCAAGGGUCGGGUCUUUGCGGGGGCUGCUGUGCGGGAUGCCGAUGCGAUACGGACACCUGCCCUCUGGGAGUCGCGGUGGGGCUUCCUGUGCAGUUCAGCUGUCAAAGAACUUCCUGACACAUCUGUUAAAGGCCUCUCUGAAGGGUGACGCUUUUAAUGCAAGUUUCUACGAGGACAGGGCUGUGGGAAGAUGCUGAUGUUUGCUGCUGAAGUCCGUUGUUUCCCCAGCAUGGUUUUAGGGCUGCAGGGGAGAGACCUCCGAGGAGAUGGCUCCCAGACGUUGUAUUCCUCCUGAUCCUGCACAGAAACAACAAUGCUGAGUCUGUGACAGCAGUGGUACUCAUAGCUACAGUCAGUGACCUUUACCCAGCCGUGCCCGAGUGCCUCACCUUGCAAGGUCGGAGAGAUCCCUUUUACAAAUGGGAAGCUGAGAAACAGGUAAGGUCACUCGCCCGGGAUCACACGGGAAUGCUGUGGCAAAAAGGAGAAUCAAGACUGAGUCUCCUGAGUCCUAGGUCAGUGCCCAAAACCAAUACUUGCACUAUUACACCAUGUGAAAGCGACAUGUGAGAUCUUAAUGAAGGACAGAUCAUUUAAGAUGAUGCUAAAACUGUUGAAGUCGCAUGCUUAAAUCUAAGCAUUCCUAAGAGUUUUACUGAGCACAAGUGGAGAUAAGUAUGUUCAGUGCUCUCCUGAAACAAAAUCUGAAUGAGGAAAUGGCUAGUUGCGUGCAUAUGACUGCUGAUAGCAAAUGGCCUUCAUGCAGUUUCUGAAGGAACUGGAGGAACUUUCUAAUUAAAAAACAAACAAACAAACAAACACCCAAACAAACCCCAAAACAAAAAACAGAGGCUUAUUAGAGCAGGCCGGUAUCCUACACAGACCUAUUUUGCUGUGGCCAGAAGAUCAAGGAGUCUCAGUAUGGGCAACUGCAAAAUAAUUGGGGUAAUUUGGCUCCUGCUUACUAUUGAUCAGAAACUGCCUAAAUGCUAAAGUUCAAGGCUUCAUAUUCAUAUUUUACUUUUUUAAAUUUAUAAUGGAGGGGGUGUUUGUGUCUCACAGAGCAAUUUGACCGGAUUCACAGGAUCCUCUUAGGACUGAGCACAGAUCAACAAGGAGCAGAAGCACCAUCCAUGCUGACUGAGUUUCUUUCAGCUCCCCUGUCAAGACCCAGUGUGGCCUGAGGGCUUUCUCAUCUGCUGAAUGCAGUUUUAAUCCAAGAUCACAGUAUCUGGCAAGCUCAAGCACAUUCCCAUUAAAGCUGUUGCACACCUGUUUUGAUGAGACUUGUUAAUGCCUCAGUAUAGAAAGGCAACAUAAUGCUAUAGGUUUAAGAGUUGCAGACAUGACCAUUACUUGAAAAAUUAGCUUGGGAUUCUAACGCCCUUGUGCCCAAACCUUUUUCCACAAAAAAGGCAAAUGAGCACUUUUUAGCAUGCUGCAUCAUUUCACAGAUACGAAAUUACUGUUCUGUACCAGUCAGGACUAAGAUGCAGGUCAGUAAAAUAUCUCAGGGGGGACCAAAGGAAAAAAAAAAAAGCUGGUUUUGCAUGACAAGUCAUGUAGUUGCUUGUGAUAUUUUGUCAACAGGAGAGAAGGAUAUCACCUUGACAUCAUUUCUGGUUUGUACUUUCAGAGAAAUCUUGGAAUCUUUACUGUGAGGAAUUAAGUUUUGUAAACACAAGUUUGUUACCCCUCUUUUUUAAUAUCUAUGUGUGGACAUGAGUAUCAUCUAUGUGUUUUUUUGUCAUUAGUCCUCUUCCUGUCCAAUGGCUAGAAAACUACUGGGAAUCUUAGCAAGAUCCGGUGACAUCUCUAACUUUUGUGAAUUGAAAGCAUCCACACGUUUACCCUCAAAAAUAGCUCAAGACCUCAAAGGCUUCCUACGCUCUGCACUACAGCCUUCUAGGUCCUCCUGUUACAGUACUGAAUAACAACAUGAUUUCCUGCCCAUGAGUUGUCCUGAUGUCUCCAUUGCAGAUCUUGUCACAACUAUUUGCAUCUUUGCUGCAUUUGAACUGAAUGGCCUGGGACUAAGUUGGAAGUUUGCUCAGAAACUACUGCCAAUGUAGACGAGAGCUCCUAGAUGAGGCCAGCCACCGAUGGCUGCCCCUCUCCAGGCUACCUGCUGUGCUCAUUUCAAAGGGAUUAGCAUUGACUAGUCCUUAACUGCCAGGCUGUUGAGACUUCUUUGACUUCAGAAAUCACCUGGAGCAAAAUCUAUUCCAAGUGUGAAGUUGGUGUUCUUAAAACACUAAUUCUAGUCUCCUCUCAUUUCUAGUGGGUUAUAAGACACAUCCAUUUGUCUUGGCUUUUUAUGAACUCUGAUCAGGGUCAACCACUGGAUUCUGUGACAUUUAGCCUGGUGGGUGUGCUUUCAUGUCUUUCGAUCUCAAAUGAUGCUCAUGCUGCUGAGAGGACUGAAAUGGGGAUUUGGCCUUGGUAUAUUGUUCCCUCUUUCCAGUCAACAUCUUGUAAUGUAGCCAUCAAAAGUGUGUCCAGAUAUGCCUUUAUGAGUUACAGUUGUAGCACUGUAACUAAUCUUUGCAGUUCAUGCAAAUAGCAUUUUAAAUGGAUGGUGUAAAUAUAACUGUAAGGACUUCUCUAAAGUGAAUGCUGCCCUAUCAAUAUGGUAUGCAAGCCCCUUCCACUGUACCGCGUGCCUGAGAGGGACCUUUCCAAGAGCUAACAUCUUACACAGAUGGUUAGUCCUACUACAACAGACAUAGCCUAGGAAAGAGGGGGGCUGGAACCAGAGUGUGUUGGCUGGGAACAAAAAACUUGUGAAAAGUGUUUUAAAGCUAUCUUGCAUCUAGCUCAAUUAUUCACCCCCAAAGAACUGGGCUCCUCCCAUCAGCUGAUUUCCAUUCAGAUGGCAUACAUCAGCUUAGCUCUCUGAUGGGGCAUUACCAGGGGUCCCAAGGAAGAGACAGGGGUUUGUACCAGAUGCUUUAAUCAGAAAGUGAGGGGAGCCCAUAGCAAAUCUGGAAAAUCAAUUUCCUUAUGUAUUCAUCAAGUUUUAAUGUGGGAAAAAUGUUAUGGUGAAUGCUAAGUCCUUGGAAAUAGGCCUUUACAAUAAAAAUAACGAAACAGACCUUUCCUUAUAAUGCUAAAAGCUCCCUCCAUUUUUCCUCCUCCCCAUUUCGCUUGCUCUCAGCUGGAGGUUAACAUCUGCUUACUUUUGACCUCUUUGUGGUAAGUGUGUGUUUCAACAGCGUCUGGGAGCUGACUGUCAAAGCAGAAUUUCUGGAUUGAAUCAGCAGGACACCGAAAAGCCUCAGGUCCACCUCGGCGAGCGGUACAGCCCUGCCGACUGCCCUCCUUAGCACAUGUUUUGACACAGAACAAAUCUGCUGAUGCAAGCUGAAUUCUGACAUGAGAAAGACUGUAAGGGGCUAAGAUAUUAAAGGAAAAACUGUCUGAGUUCAUACAUUCCUAACAGCUAUGGGAUUCUCUCUUGCUUCUUUUUAGUUUUCCAUUAAAAGAUGGAUUUAUAUUAACAUAGUCUUUCUGUUAAGACCCUUUCAAAAUAGAUAUAGUCAAAAUGUG